CACCUACAUAUAUAUUUAUAUACAUGUAAUUUCCAUCUCUAUAUAGAUAUAUAUAUAUACAUGUAGAACUUGGACAAAAUCCAUAAAAGCACACGGUUCCAUAUGCUUUGUUUUCUUUUUUUUUUUAUAUAUAUAUAAACAUGUGAAAAGGUAUCCACAUGUCUUUUAUUUAGCCACACAAAAUUUUUCUUGGCUCCAUGCAUAUAUAUAUAUAUAUAUAUACAUACACAUGUCAAAACAUCCCAUCCUUUAUCUUUUUUUCUUUUGUUUGUAUAUGUAUGUAUGUGUACACGGUUUCAUGUAAACAUAAAAGGUGUCCACAUGUCUCUCUAUUAGGCCACACUUGCACUUAUAACAAAUCUGUAAAAAAAUUAAAGAGAAUAAUCCAUAAUUAUCCCCAUGAAAAGGAAAAUUCAAUGCGUGUGUAGGUAGGUAGGACCAUAAAGAUAAUGAUUUGUCUAUUCCAAGCAGCCAAACAAACAACAAUCCGAAUAACUUUUGUAGAACAAAAAACAAAAUAAUAAUAAGAAUCAUUUAAAAUUAUCGACAUCUUUUCCAGUGGUGAGAGAGAAGGAAAUAAUUAUGCAGCUUGAAAAGAUAAAUCACUAUUGACUAUAUUGACUGUGUAUUCGAUGUGUAUUUAUCACAGUUCGAUCAAAAAACUCUCUCUCUCUCUCUCUCUCUAAAUCAUAAUUAGUAGUGAUCGGCAGAAAGAAAAAUGUCGAGAGUCUGUUUGUUGCUGUUUUUGUGCUAAAUACCAGCGUUGGGGUCUUAGCGGUUGAGGCUUUUAGCAGACAAGAUUUCCCUACUGGCUUUCUCUUUGGCGCUGGAACCUCAGCUAAUCAGCUUUCUCAUAUAUAUCAUUUUAAAUAUAUGCAUUUUUUUUUUAAAAAAUCUCAUGAUAAGAGCUGGACUAUAUAUAUAUAUAUAUAAAUACAUACAUGCAAGAAGCCAUAGAAGUAAUUAAUGAUGUUUAUGUUAAAGAUAUUAUUCCAUGGAAGGUGGAAGGAGCAGCAAACGAAGAUGGGAGGACUCCCAGCAUUUGGGAUAGUUCUUUUGCUCCUAGUGCCGUAUUUGGACAACCUUACAAAAGGAUCCAUCAAAUAAUCAUCUUGGGUGUCCUCUACUACAAAAAUGGAGAAGAGCUGGAAACUAGCUUUACUCCUCCUGCAUAUAUUUCUAAAAGACUCUGCUCUUCAUAAGUCCAGAACCAGAAACUGAGCCAACCUCUUCAUCAUCAUCAUCAACAUCUCCAUGAGAAAAAGAGAGUUUUACCAAAAACCGCUAUCGUAAAAGAGAGAAUCCAACCAGUAUUGAAAGAUUUGAGAAGAGAGGAAACCUGAUCGGUGAACUUCAGCAGAGAUCGGUGAACUUCAGCAGAGAUCUUUUUUUGUUGAAGGCACGGCUGACUAUUCGAGAUCUGUUCGAUGAAGAUUAGCUGGUGUGCGUGGGUCGACGAGCGGUGAACGUUUCGCAAGCCAGUGAAGGGGCUGGUCGAGCGACGAAGGUGAGAGACAAGAGAGGCCAAGGUGAAAGAACAGGUGGAAACAUCUUUUUGAUGUUUUCCCAAUUUUGUUUUUUUUUUUAACUUGUUUUCAGAACUUGUUUUUAGAAACAAAUGGCCAAACAAGUAUAAAAUUGUUUUGGAAAUAAAUUUCUGUUUUCAAGAACAAAAAACUGUUCUGAAAACAGCUGGCCAAACAGGCCCUAAAGUUCUCGUUUUCAAUCAGCGUGACACUAUUAGAACUUUGAUAUUUUAUCAUUUUUUAA
Molecule: long non-coding RNA, 1770 nt
Organism: Ziziphus jujuba (common jujube)
Lineage: Eukaryota; Viridiplantae; Streptophyta; Magnoliopsida; Rosales; Rhamnaceae
Exons: 3
Source: RefSeq, a predicted model, not a curated record